GUGAAAAAUGUCAGUGAUCAAUGAUCAGCGUUUCCCAAAAGCCCAAGACGACGUCCUCAAAUGUCUUGUUUUGUCCACAACCCAAAGGUAUUCAGUUGACUGUCACAGAGGGGAGAAGAAACUAGAAGAUAUUCACAUUUAACAAGCUGGAAUCAGAGAAGUUUUACUUUUUACUCAAACAGAUU
This is a long non-coding RNA of Etheostoma spectabile (orangethroat darter), 185 nucleotides long. RefSeq lists it as uncharacterized. The record is from RefSeq and is a predicted model, not a curated record. NCBI's taxonomy places the organism in Eukaryota, Metazoa, Chordata, Actinopteri, Perciformes, Percidae. The transcript is spliced from 3 exons.